RNAcentral lists this ribosomal RNA (425 nucleotides) under uncultured bacterium. RNAcentral describes it as "partial 16S ribosomal RNA". It matches the Rfam family "Bacterial small subunit ribosomal RNA", at positions 354 to 796 of the family's 1533-position model. The record is from RNAcentral.
GUGGGGAAUAUUGCACAAUGGGGGAAACCCUGAUGCAGCAACGCCGCGUGAAGGAAGAAGUAUUUCGGUAUGUAAACUUCUAUCAGCAGGGAAGAAAAUGACGGUACCUGACUAAGAAGCCCCGGCUAACUACGUGCCAGCAGCCGCGGUAAUACGUAGGGGGCAAGCGUUAUCCGGAUUUACUGGGUGUAAAGGGAGCGUAGGUGGUAUGGCAAGUCAGAUGUGAAAGCCCGGGGCUCAACCCCGGGACUGCAUUUGAAACUGUCAGACUAGAGUGCAGGAGAGGUAAGUGGAAUUCCUAGUGUAGCGGUGAAAUGCGUAGAUAUUAGGAGGAACACCAGUGGCGAAGGCGGCUUACUGGACUGUAACUGACACUGAGGCUCGAAAGCGUGGGGAGCAAACAGGAUUAGAUACCCUGGUAGUCC